Molecule: long non-coding RNA, 128 nt
Organism: Perca fluviatilis (European perch)
Lineage: Eukaryota; Metazoa; Chordata; Actinopteri; Perciformes; Percidae
Exons: 3
Source: RefSeq, a predicted model, not a curated record
CCUGAACACACCUCUGACCCAGCGAAGGAUGUGGUCAGGAAGCUGCUGGUAGUUGACCCCAGUAAGAGGAUGACUAUAGAUGAAGCUCUGCAGCAUCCCUGGCUCCAGGAUGAUGUCAUGAUGAAGAC